RNAcentral lists this unclassified non-coding RNA (330 nucleotides) under soil metagenome. RNAcentral's name for it is "partial contains 5.8S ribosomal RNA, internal transcribed spacer 2, and large subunit ribosomal RNA". The stretch from base 1 to 119 matches the Rfam family "5.8S ribosomal RNA", at positions 35 to 154 of the family's 154-position model. The record is from RNAcentral.
GAUGAAAACGUAGUGAAAUGCGAUAAGUAAUGUGAAUUGCAGAAUUCAGUGAAUCAUCGAAUCUUUGAACGCACAUUGCGCCCCCUGGUAUUCCGGGGGGCAUGCCUGUUCGAGCGUCAUUUCACCACUCAAGCCUCGCUUGGUAUUGGGCAACGCGGUCCGCCGCGUGCCUCAAAUCGACCGGCUGGGUCUUCUGUCCCCUAAGCGUUGUGGAAACUAUUCGCUAAAGGGUGUUCGGGAGGCUACGCCGUAAAACAACCCCAUUUCUAAGGUUGACCUCGGAUCAGGUAGGGAUACCCGCUGAACUUAAGCAUAUCAAUAAGCGGAGGA